CCUUGGCACUUUGAGGCCUCUGUCGUGCAAGAUGAUUGACCUCGCUUGGGGGAAGAGCUGGACAUCUAUCAAAUCUUUUGUCUCAUCUUCUGAAAACAAGAAUGGAGGAGAAAAUUGCAGGCAGGAAGAAGCUUUGAUCAAAAGCAAAGGGCAAAGACUCCGAGGUCAAGGGCUAUGAAGGAGCUGCUGAUGCAUGUGGCUACGCGGUCUGCAUUGAAUUUACUAAUUGGUGAAUAGUAUGAAUUAUAUUAAUUAGUAUGGUAGAAAAUUUAUUUUACUAGGAGAGAUUUCUAAUACUGCUAAGACUAGCCAGGCCAAGUGUUUUGAAAGCUGUACGGUCAGUCCUCCAUCAGCUUGGGGAAAAGAGUAUGCAAAUCCAUAAGAAAGCACUGAAAAUCUUUAUGAAAACUGUGUGUUAUUAAUGUCUAAAAUCCCCCUAACCAUGUGAGUAAGGAGCAGCAACCUGGUUAUAUGGAAAAAAAACCCUACGAAAAAGGGUACUGAAGCUAUUUUAAUUGAUUGUUCAGUCACCUGCAAAUGAUGCCCCUGGCUAUGAGAUGCAAAUUUGUCUCAAAAUAUUCUUGUUGUUCAUAUGAUGAGAGAAAAUGUCUGCUGUACUUUGAAUCUCAAUAAGCUUGGCUUGAGAAUCCUCUCCUCUGCACGCAUUGAAUUAUACAUAUGAAUAUAUAUGUGUGUGUGUGUAUAUAUAGCAUGUGCGUAUAUGUAUAUAUGAAUUAUAUAUAUUUGAAUGUACACACAAUAUCUAUAUAUAUAAAACAUUGACGCCUUGUAGAAACUGCUAAAAGGAAAAAAAAGAUAACUCAGUUUGCAUCAGUUUUUGCAACUGGUUGAAUACAUGGGCAUUAGCCCAAGAAAAGUACUAGUUCUCACUUUCUUUAUUAAUCUGUACUUUAUAUGUUAUCCACACAUCAAGUCAAGCAUCCCGCAGAAAGAACAAUGACGGUUUUGGAGAAUCUUUGCUGUUCCCUGCUGUGUGAUGGGGGGAAAAAAGAAGACAAAGAUGAGAAAUGGCAGGCAGAUAACUUCACCAUUGCUUGUUUAAGCAGAUCCUCCUUCGUAAAAGUGACUAAUGUUUCCUUACAGGUGAGGCAAUGAGGAACGGGAUGUUUUUGUUGCACUUUUUGUGAAAUUCCUAUACCUUUUGGAAAAAUUCAGCUGUAGACCAUGAUGUCAGGCAAUUGGAAGUAGAGAUGCGACUCUUGCCACAGUUUGUCUUCUAGGUCAUCCCCUCAAAUACUGGAAUAUUUGCUAAACAUGGCAGUUUUCCCAGUGUUUUAUCCAAUGAUAUCUUAAAUUAUCUAAAUUACAGGGUUGGUCCUACUUCUCUUGAGAGACACUGUUCCACAGUGUAAUACAUCUCUCUGUCAGAGAUGUCUUCACAUCAUUUUAAGUUAUACCCCUUUAGAUUACCCUGCGUUAAGUCUUCCUGCUUCAUCUCGCCCAUCAAAUAUUUAUGUGGUUCACCUUUUUAUUCAUUACGUAGCAAACUUAAUAUCUAGCUCAGUGUUAGUGGAUCCGUAUGAAUCCUCAAAUCUUUCAGUAUUUUUCAUAAGUGUUUUUUUUAGCUCAGAGCGUGAUUGGAUUCCUAUUGCAGAAAAAUGAUUAUUUUUUCAAAGGGUAUAUUACCCUAAACAUACUAGGACUAUGUCUGUACUACUUUAUACCUCAUGCAGUGUCAGUGAUUUCACUAGUAUUAAAUAAGUGCAGAAAUUGGUCUGUGGGGCUCUUCUUGCACUUUGGGCAGCACUUGGUAAUCUAAAGUGACAUCUAACUGCAAAACAGCAAAAUGCAGUGAGCCAGAACACAGUGACUUUGCAAAAGCAUCUUUCCUGCUUCAUCAUCUGUUUUUUGAAGAGGCAGAAGAGGUAAGGUUGGUCUAUGGUGCAGAAGGAAAAAAGUGCAUGCAUGUCUGUACACGUUGAUCUCUGUGUGCAUGAGUGUACGUACGUAUGGAUGGCAAAGAGCAAUGGAGCUGCUUGCUGAGAGGAUGAAUCAAGUGUAAAAGAGAAAUCAGUAAUAACUGAUGUUUUGCGUUAAUAUUUUUGUGGGUUCUUUUGCUGCAGUUAGAAUGGGAAAUGCAUACCUCCUGCCAUUU
This 2116-nucleotide long non-coding RNA is filed under the name Struthio camelus australis. RNAcentral describes it as "lncRNA (ENSSCUG00000002702.1)". The record is from RNAcentral. Lineage: Eukaryota; Metazoa; Chordata; Aves; Struthioniformes; Struthionidae.